This 581-nucleotide ribosomal RNA is filed under the name Staphylococcus sp. Its description in RNAcentral is "bacterial SSU rRNA". It matches the Rfam family "Bacterial small subunit ribosomal RNA", at positions 349 to 923 of the family's 1533-position model. The record is from RNAcentral. Lineage: Bacteria; Bacillati; Bacillota; Bacilli; Caryophanales; Staphylococcaceae.
CAGCAGUAGGGAUCUUCCGCAUGGACGAAAGUCUGACGGAGCAACGCCGCGUGAGUGAUGAAGGUUUUCGGAUCGUAAAACUCUGUUAUUAGGGAAGAACAAAUGUGUAAGUAACUGUGCACAUCUUGACGGUACCUAAUCAGAAAGCCACGGCUAACUACGUGCCAGCAGCCGCGGUAAUACGUAGGUGGCAAGCGUUAUCCGGAAUUAUUGGGCGUAAAGCGCGCGUAGGCGGUUUCUUAAGUCUGAUGUGAAAGCCCACGGCUCAACCGUGGAGGGUCAUUGGAAACUGGGAAACUUGAGUACAGAAGAGGAAAGUGGAAUUCCAUGUGUAGCGGUGAAAUGCGCAGAGAUAUGGAGGAACACCAGUGGCGAAGGCGACUUUCUGGUCUGUAACUGACGCUGAUGUGCGAAAGCGUGGGGAUCAAACAGGAUUAGAUACCCUGGUAGUCCACGCCGUAAACGAUGAGUGCUAAGUGUUAGGGGGUUUCCGCCCCUUAGUGCUGCAGCUAACGCAUUAAGCACUCCGCCUGGGGAGUACGACCGCAAGGUUGAAACUCAAAGGAAUUGACGGGGCCCCU